RNAcentral lists this ribosomal RNA (238 nucleotides) under uncultured bacterium. RNAcentral describes it as "partial 16S ribosomal RNA". It matches the Rfam family "Bacterial small subunit ribosomal RNA", at positions 118 to 347 of the family's 1533-position model. The record is from RNAcentral.
UGGGUGAUCUGCCCUGCACUUCGGGAUAAGCCUGGGAAACUGGGUCUAAUACCGGAUAUGACUGCGAAUCGCAUGGUUUGUGGUGGAAAGCUUUUGCGGUGUGGGAUGGGCCCGCGGCCUAUCAGCUUGUUGGUGAGGUUAUGGCUUACCAAGGCGACGACGGGUAGCCGGCCUGGAGGAGGGUGUCCCGGCCACACGUGGGACUGAGAUACCGGCCCAGACCUCCCGUACGGGAGNA